ACGCUCGACACCUACUGGAGGCAGCAGUGGGGAAUAUUGCACAAUGGGGGAAACCCUGAUGCAGCGACGCCGCGUGAGCGAAGAAGUAUUUCGGUAUGUAAAGCUCUAUCAGCAGGGAAGAAACUGACGGUACCUGACUAAGAAGCACCGGCUAAAUACGUGCCAGCAGCCGCGGUAAUCUGAGGCGGGCUGGCAAGGC
This 199-nucleotide ribosomal RNA is filed under the name uncultured bacterium. RNAcentral describes it as "partial 16S ribosomal RNA". It matches the Rfam family "Bacterial small subunit ribosomal RNA", at positions 328 to 539 of the family's 1533-position model. The record is from RNAcentral.